GCUUGCUUUCUUGCUGACGAGCGGCGGACGGGUGAGUAAUGUAUGGGGAUCUGCCCGAUAGAGGGGGAUAACUACUGGAAACGGUGGCUAAUACCGCAUGACGUCUACGGACCAAAGCAGGGGCUCUUCGGACCUUGCGCUAUCGGAUGAACCCAUAUGGGAUUAGCUAGUAGGUGAGGUAAUGGCUCACCUAGGCGACGAUCUCUAGCUGGUCUGAGAGGAUGAUCAGCCACACUGGGACUGAGACACGGCCCAGACUCCUACGGGAGGCAGCAGUGGGGAAUAUUGCACAAUGGGCGCAAGCCUGAUGCAGCCAUGCCGCGUGUAUGAAGAAGGCCUUAGGGUUGUAAAGUACUUUCAGCGGGGAGGAAGGUGAUAAAGUUAAUACCUUUAUCAAUUGACGUUACCCGCAGAAGAAGCACCGGCUAACUCCGUGCCAGCAGCCGCGGUA
Molecule: ribosomal RNA, 451 nt
Filed under: Proteus vulgaris
Lineage: Bacteria; Pseudomonadati; Pseudomonadota; Gammaproteobacteria; Enterobacterales; Morganellaceae
Description: bacterial SSU rRNA
Rfam family: Bacterial small subunit ribosomal RNA
Source: RNAcentral